This is a long non-coding RNA of Bombus pascuorum, 154 nucleotides long. RefSeq lists it as uncharacterized. Lineage: Eukaryota; Metazoa; Arthropoda; Insecta; Hymenoptera; Apidae. The record is from RefSeq and is a predicted model, not a curated record. The transcript has 3 exons.
GUGGAGGGAAAGGUGGUCUUGGUGUUUGUGGUGGUUGUGGUGGGAAAGUUGGUGGUGUCACAGGUGGUCGUGGUGGAGAAGGUCUUGGCGUUUGUGGUGGUUGCGGUGGAAAAGGUGGUGGCGGUGCUGGUGUUUUUGGAGGUUGUGGUGUCGG